UUAUACUGGAUGAUAACUUGUUUAUUUGAUUUGUGCUUGAUGUACAUGGAUGUUUAUGGUUGAUGAUUUUCUUUGAAACCCUAAUGUAUGAACCUUAGAGGCAUGAACCCUAAUGACUUAAACCCAUGUAUGAGAUGAAAUUUUGUUAUAAAAUUAUACUUUUAUGUGCUUUGAACUUGCUCCUAAAGAUUACUUUAGUCUUGAUGCAUGACAUAAUUGUUUAAGGUUUAACAUGCUUGUAUGCUCCUUAUAGGUCCACUUUUAAAA
RNAcentral lists this long non-coding RNA (267 nucleotides) under Lathyrus oleraceus (garden pea). RNAcentral's name for it is "Pisum sativum (pea) long non-coding RNA (PSAT_LNC022390)". Lineage: Eukaryota; Viridiplantae; Streptophyta; Magnoliopsida; Fabales; Fabaceae. The record is from RNAcentral.